Molecule: ribosomal RNA, 577 nt
Filed under: uncultured bacterium
Lineage: Bacteria
Description: bacterial SSU rRNA
Rfam family: Bacterial small subunit ribosomal RNA
Source: RNAcentral
AACACGUAGCCAACCUGCCCUGGAGUUUGGGAUAACGCCCCGAAAGGGGUGCUAAGACCGGAUACGCUCGGACGAUGUAGAGGCGUCCGAGGAAAAACUUUGGUUGCUCUGGGAGGGGGCUGCGGCCCAUCAGGCAGUUGGUGGGGUAACGGCCUACCAAGCCGACGACGGGUCGGGGGUCUGAGAGGAUGAUCCCCCACACUGGGACUGAGACACGGCCCAGACUCCUACGGGAGGCAGCAGUGAGGAAUCUUGCACAAUGGGGGCAACCCUGAUGCAGCGACGCCGCGUGGGCGAUGAAGGUCUUCGGAUCGUAAAGCCCUUUUCUGCGUGACGAGACAAGGACGGUAGCGCAGGAAGAAGCGUCGGCUAACUACGUGCCAGCAGCCGCGGUAAAACGUAGGACGCAAGCGUUAUCCGGAGUUACUGGGCGUAAAGGGCGUGUAGGCGGCUAUUCAAGUGGCUCGUGAAAGACUUCGGCUCAACCGGGGGAGGUCGGGUCAGACUGGAUGGCUGGAGGAUGUCAGAGGGACACGGAAUUCCGGGUGUAGUGGUGAAAUGCGUAGAGAUCCGGAGG